RNAcentral lists this ribosomal RNA (452 nucleotides) under uncultured Brevundimonas sp. Its description in RNAcentral is "bacterial SSU rRNA". It matches the Rfam family "Bacterial small subunit ribosomal RNA", at positions 91 to 578 of the family's 1533-position model. Lineage: Bacteria; Pseudomonadati; Pseudomonadota; Alphaproteobacteria; Caulobacterales; Caulobacteraceae. The record is from RNAcentral.
GUUAGUGGCGGACGGGUGAGUAACACGUGGGAACGUGCCUUUAGGUUCGGAAUAACUCAGGGAAACUUGUGCUAAUACCGAAUGUGCCCUUCGGGGGAAAGAUUUAUCGCCUUUAGAGCGGCCCGCGUCUGAUUAGCUAGUUGGUGAGGUAAAGGCUCACCAAGGCGACGAUCAGUAGCUGGUCUGAGAGGAUGAUCAGCCACAUUGGGACUGAGACACGGCCCAAACUCCUACGGGAGGCAGCAGUGGGGAAUCUUGCGCAAUGGGCGAAAGCCUGACGCAGCCAUGCCGCGUGAAUGAUGAAGGUCUUAGGAUUGUAAAAUUCUUUCACCGGGGACGAUAAUGACGGUACCCGGAGAAGAAGCCCCGGCUAACUUCGUGCCAGCAGCCGCGGUAAUACGAAGGGGGCUAGCGUUGCUCGGAAUUACUGGGCGUAAAGGGAGCGUAGGCGG